AUGUUCCAGCCUGGCCACCCCAUCAGCGCCUGCCCAGGGCAGGCCCAGCGCCAUGGUUCUUGGACUCCCAGAGUCAGCAGUGGGCUGGUGGUUGGGGGAGGCAGGUGCCUUGGGGGUGGUCGGGCCACUAGGGCUCCCCCAGCUGUCUCGGCUGCCCCUCUUAGGGCUCCAGCCCCUGCAACUGAGGGGCAGCUACUGGCCUGGAGGGGACACACAGCCGUUGCCUCCCCCAGCCAGUCCCCGCCCUCCCCGGUGGCCUUGCUGAGUGAGAUCCACUCUGCGUCUACCUUGUGCCUUGGUCUGGAAGAAGAGAGCUUCUCCCUGCGGCUGAUCUGUGUGGCCUGGGCCCCGGCCACUUCAGGGACCAGGGACAGUGUCCUUCCGGGGCUGCAUCUCUGCCCACACCUCCAGCCUGCCACGUGCACCCCUGCCACGCUCCCUGUCACGUUGCUGAGCUGUGCUGCAGGUGCAGCAGCUGCUCCUCCCGGAGGGAAGGGGCCGAGCGCCCCCCGCGGCCCCUCCAACCCUGCCUCUCAGCAGACCCAGGCUCCGCUCGUGCAGGCCCCAGGCAGUCAGAGCUGUGCAGCCAGGCAGUCAGACGCUGUGCAGCCAGGCUGUGUGCUCAGCACAGGCAGUCAGACGCUGUGCAGCCAGGCUGUGUGCUCAGCACAGGCAGUCAGACGCUGUGCAGCCAGGCUGUGUGCUCAGCACAGGCAGUCAGACGCUGUGCAGCCAGGCUGUGUGCUCAGCACAGGCAGUCAGACGCUGUGCAGCCAGGCUGUGUGCUCAGCACAGGCGCAGGCCGGCACAGCUGGGGACACUUGCUUAAGACCCAGCGCUGCCUCAGAGAAGUUCCCAGUCUGCUGGCAGAGGCGUAGUCCAGGACCAGGGGCUGCAACACCCAGACCCGCCCCGAUCCGCCCCGGGGCCACUCCCUUCUACCGUCCCUGCCUCCACCCUGGAGGACAGCGCUGUUUGUGGUGCUGCCUCGGCCUGGAGCUGCUGUCUCUGUGGCACGGGGAGCUGGGAGGGAAGGGAGCCCCUCGUUUUAGGGAUACGCCCAACAAAGUGGGGCGGGUGGGCAAGGAAAAAGAAACUGAACAUUGA
RNAcentral lists this long non-coding RNA (1107 nucleotides) under Oryctolagus cuniculus (rabbit). RNAcentral describes it as "lncRNA (ENSOCUG00000030828.1)". The record is from RNAcentral. Lineage: Eukaryota; Metazoa; Chordata; Mammalia; Lagomorpha; Leporidae.